RNAcentral lists this ribosomal RNA (487 nucleotides) under uncultured bacterium. Its description in RNAcentral is "bacterial SSU rRNA". It matches the Rfam family "Bacterial small subunit ribosomal RNA", at positions 1 to 488 of the family's 1533-position model. The record is from RNAcentral.
GAUUAGAGUUUGAUCCUGGCUCAGAUUGAACGCUGGCGGCAUGCUUUACACAUGCAAGUCGAACGGUAACAGGCCUUCGGGUGCUGACGAGUGGCGAACGGGUGAGUAAUGCAUCGGAACAUACCCAGUCGUGGGGGAUAACGUAGCGAAAGUUACGCUAAUACCGCAUACGUCCUGAGGGAGAAAGCGGGGGAUCGCAAGACCUCGCGCGAUUGGAGUGGCCGAUGUCAGAUUAGCUAGUUGGUGGGGUAAAGGCCCACCAAGGCGACGAUCUGUAGCGGGUCUGAGAGGAUGAUCCGCCACACUGGGACUGAGACACGGCCCAGACUCCUACGGGAGGCAGCAGUGGGGAAUUUUGGACAAUGGGGGAAACCCUGAUCCAGCCAUGCCGCGUGCGGGAAGAAGGCCUUCGGGUUGUAAACCGCUUUCAGCCGGAAAGAAAUCGCACGGACCAAUACUCUGUGUGGAUGACGGUACCGGAAGAAGA